Molecule: ribosomal RNA, 460 nt
Filed under: uncultured bacterium
Lineage: Bacteria
Description: partial 16S ribosomal RNA
Rfam family: Bacterial small subunit ribosomal RNA
Source: RNAcentral
CCUACGGGGGGCUGCAGUGAGGAAUAUUGGUCAAUGGACGAGAGUCUGAACCAGCCAAGUAGCGUGAAGGAUGACUGCCCUAUGGGUUGUAAACUUCUUUUAUAUGGGAAUAAAACGUUCCACGUGUGGGAUUUUGUAUGUACCAUAUGAAUAAGGAUCGGCUAACUCCGUGCCAGCAGCCGCGGUAAUAUGGAGGAUCCGAGCGUUAUCCGGAUUUAUUGGGUUUAAAGGGAGCGUAGGUGGAUUGUUAAGUCAGUUGUGAAAGUUUGCGGCUCAACCGUAAAAUUGCAGUUGAAACUGGCAGUCUUGAGUACAGUAGAGGUGGGCGGAAUUCGUGGUGUAGCGGUGAAAUGCUUAGAUAUCACGAAGAACUCCGAUUGCGAAGGCAGUUCACUGGACUGCAACUGACACUGAGGCUCGAAAGUGUGGGUAUCAAACAGGAUUAGAUACCCGUGUAGUC